Molecule: long non-coding RNA, 972 nt
Filed under: Homo sapiens (human)
Lineage: Eukaryota; Metazoa; Chordata; Mammalia; Primates; Hominidae
Description: HSALNT0092119
Source: RNAcentral
CCUCUUCUGCACUAUUCACAAAAGUAGAAAUUUAAUACGAGGUUCACAUGAUAGUCAGAAGAUACUAGCACUAUGCUAGAGUUCUAAGGGUACCAUACAAACCAAAGUCAUGGCUCCUGUUCCCAAAAGAAGCAGUGUUUUCAAGAUACUAAGAAGCAAUCCAGAAAACAAAGAGUAUCAAGUUUGCCAAAUUGUGUGUCAUAAGAAUAUGUGCAAUAUAAAUUUAAACAAGAAUAGAGAGAAGCUUGUAAGGCUUAGAAUUGUCAGAAAGUUUUGGUAAGCAGGUAAGAGCAGACAUAGCUGUAACUCAAAUUAUGAUUUAGUGGAGGUUGAAAUGAAAUAAAUGACUUUAGGAAAGGUUAGAUAUUUGGUCUAUGAUCUGGGAGGACCUAAGCAUUCUUUGUUAUUGAGCAGAUAGUAGCCCUAUAUAUUUGCGCUGCAUUCAAGCCUACAAAAUACUCAAGAACUACUCAAGAGAAACUCAUUUCAGGACUCAUAUAUCUUCAAUGACAAUUCUUUUGAUCUGAAGCAUAACAGAUGAGCUUAAUUAAAAACUUUUCAGAAAUAUACAUCAGGCUGGUAGAUGAAAUUUACUUGUAAUAGCUUAAGUUGACUUGACCAGGUAAAAUUGAGAUUCCAAUGAGUGAGGUUUGUGGCCCUGGAAAAAAGAAUCUCAAUUUCAUCCUUAAUUAUCAUUAACAGACUUGGAACUCUUUUUACAAUUCUUCAAAAGCAAUAUUAAAUCUAGACCUUUGAUGUUAUUAUGCAUUAUUUUAUGUGUUAAAAUCAGGAACAAAGGAAGUAUUUUCAAAAAACUGUGGAGAAAUUUUUGUAAAUAAUUUGUAAAAUGUUUAGUCUUUCCUAGGCUUCUGGAGUCAAUUUCUUUGGUUUAAUAAAAUUUGUAAACUCUGAGAAGCUGUAUUUAGUUUUCAUCCAUAGUUCAAUAGAAAUUCCUUAUCCAUAGACAAUAGA